GACGAAGGUGGCGAGCGUUGUUCGGAAUCACUGGGCAUAAAGCGCGCGUAGGCGGCUGAGUAAGUCAGGUGUGAAAGCCCUCGGCUCAACCGAGGAACUGCGCCUGAUACUGCUCGGCUUGAGGUCCGGAGGGGAGAGUGGAAUUCCCGGUGGAGCGGUGAAAUGCGUAGAGAUCGGGAAGAACGCCGGCGGCGAAAGCGACUCUCUGGUCGGAAUCUGACGCUGAGGCGCGAAAGCUAGGGGAGCAAACGGG
RNAcentral lists this ribosomal RNA (253 nucleotides) under uncultured bacterium. Its description in RNAcentral is "partial 16S ribosomal RNA". It matches the Rfam family "Bacterial small subunit ribosomal RNA", at positions 524 to 776 of the family's 1533-position model. The record is from RNAcentral.